AAGGGCACCACAAGAACGCGUGGAGCAUGUGGCUUAAUUUGACUCAACGCGGGAAAUCUUACCGGGUCCGGACACACUGAGGAUUGACAGGCAAUAUUAAUUUCUGCAGCUUCGGCUAAAGUUAUUAUGUUAAAUAUGCUAGUCCUUUCAUGAUUAUGUGAUAGGUGGUGCAUGGCCGUUCUUAGUUCGUGGAGUGAUCUGUCUGCUUAAUUGCGUUUCACUAAGGGCCUAUAAAUUACGUGUGUUGCGGUACUUUGACCCCUCCUUUUUCACGAGAAGAGCGCGUGUCUUAGUUUGCUUAGCUCACACAAUUAGGUCCUGAAAGCAACGAACGUGACCGCAACCUCUUGUUGCCUUUAUACCAAACAUGGAUAUUCUCUUCGGAGGGUUUCAUGAAAAAAGGCUUUUUAAACUAGAGGGACCGCUGUUACUUUCUUAAACCAGAGGAAGGUUGCGGCAAUAACAGGUCUGUGAUGCCCUUAGAUGUUCCGGGCUGCACACGUGCUACAAUGAUUAUUGCAGUGAGCAUCUCAUUUUUUACACACCGCAUACGCGAGUCCAUUUAUUCACUCUCGGGUGCUUUAAAUGUGCAUCUCUGCGAGCGGUAAAGCCUGCUUCGAAAGUAAGUGGGUAAUCAAUUAGAAGUAAUGAUUUCCUUUUUUUCUAGCACACAUAUAUACGGCGUUUAUACCCGGGCUGCCUUGUUGUAGCUUUUGUGCGUAUAGAUGUUUUUUCCGUAUGUGCGAUUGUCAAUUCAUGGUGGGGACAGACCAUUGUUAAUUGUUGGUCUCGGUCUUAACUAGGAAUGCCUUGUACGGGUCUUUGGUUCAACAAACCACCCGGAAUACGUCCCUGCCCUUUGUACACACCGCCCGUCGCUCUUACCGAUGGACUUCUCUGUGAGUUUGGGGGACUGGGAACGCAGGUUUUUUAUUAAAUCUGCACACCUAUGGAAACUUAAACGAACAGUGUGGUCCAAAGGAAAGAGAAGUCGAACAAGGCA
This 1003-nucleotide ribosomal RNA is filed under the name Epistominella sp. 8122. RNAcentral describes it as "SSU rRNA". It matches the Rfam family "Eukaryotic small subunit ribosomal RNA", at positions 1160 to 1801 of the family's 1831-position model. The record is from RNAcentral. Lineage: Eukaryota; Foraminifera; Rotaliida; Pseudoparrellidae.